RNAcentral lists this ribosomal RNA (305 nucleotides) under uncultured bacterium. RNAcentral's name for it is "bacterial SSU rRNA". It matches the Rfam family "Bacterial small subunit ribosomal RNA", at positions 335 to 633 of the family's 1533-position model. The record is from RNAcentral.
GUUCCCACGGGGCGCAGCAGUGGGGAAUUUUGGACAAUGGGCGCAAGCCUGAUCCAGCUAUUCCGCGUGUGGGAUGAAGGCCCUCGGGUUGUAAACCACUUUUGUAGAGAACGAAAAGACACCUUUUAAUAAAGGGUGUUGCUGACGGUACUCUAAGAAUAAGCACCGGCUAACUACGUGCCAGCAGCCGCGGUAAUACGUAGGUGGCGAGCGUUAUCCGGAAUGAUUGGGCGUAAAGGGUGCGUAGGCGGCCUGCUAAGUCUGGAGUGAAAGGUACCGGCUCAACCGGUACAGGCUCUGGAAAC